AUUGAACGCUGGCGGCAUGCUUUACACAUGCAAGUCGAACGGUAGGGUAGCAAUACCUGAGAGUGGCGAACGGGUGAGUAAUGUAUCGGAACGUGCCCAAGAGUGGGGGAUAGCCCGGCGAAAGCCGGAUUAAUACCGCAUACGAUCUAUGGAUGAAAACGGGGGACCGCAAGGCCUCGUGCUCCUGGAGCGGCCGAUAUCAGAUUAGGUAGUUGGUGGGGUAAAGGCUCACCAAGCCAACGAUCUGUAGCUGGUUUGAGAGAACGACCAGCCAAACUGGGACUGAGACACGGCCCAGACUCCUACGGGAGGCAGCAGUGGGGAAUUUUGGACAAUGGGCGCAAGCCUGAUCCAGCAAUGCCGCGUGCAGGAUGAAGGCCUUCGGGUUGUAAACUGCUUUUGUACGGAGCGAAAAGGCUUCUUCUAAUACAGGAGGCUCAUGACGGUACCGUAUGAAUAAGCACCGGUUAACUACGUGCCAGCAGCCGCCGUAA
RNAcentral lists this ribosomal RNA (494 nucleotides) under uncultured bacterium. RNAcentral's name for it is "partial 16S ribosomal RNA". It matches the Rfam family "Bacterial small subunit ribosomal RNA", at positions 30 to 523 of the family's 1533-position model. The record is from RNAcentral.